RNAcentral lists this ribosomal RNA (510 nucleotides) under Halammohydra adherens. RNAcentral describes it as "partial large subunit ribosomal RNA". The stretch from base 191 to 510 matches the Rfam family "Bacterial large subunit ribosomal RNA", at positions 2079 to 2603 of the family's 2925-position model. Lineage: Eukaryota; Metazoa; Cnidaria; Hydrozoa; Actinulida; Halammohydridae. The record is from RNAcentral.
AUAGUUUUAUUAUAGAUGAAAUCUGGUCAAUGGAAAUUUUAAAUUCAAGCCUUAGCGUGAGGGUAAUAAUGUAGCAUAAUAAUUUGAUACUUAAUUAGUGUCUGGUAUGAAUGUUUUAACGAUUAUAAAAUUGUCUCAAAAUUGUAUUAAAAAUUAAUAUAAAAGUUAAGAUUCUUUUUUAAAAUUAUAAGACAAGAAGACCCCAUAAACCUUUACUAAAAAAUUUUUAUUAAAAUUUUAAUAGUUUAACUGGGGCAGUUAUCUUUUAAAAUAAAUAAGAUAAAAUAUGUUUACUUAAUAAUGUUAACAAUAUAUUUAUAUAUUAAGAUCUUUUUAAUAGAACUUUAUUAAUAAAUUUAUAGAUAAAAGGUACUUUGGGGAUAACAGCGUAAUUUAAAUAAAAAGUUGAAAUUAAAAUUUAAGUUUGCGACCUCGAUGUUGAAUUUAGAUAUCCUGUAGCUGUAAUAGGUUAUAAUGGUUAGAUUGUUCAUCUAUUAAAAUCUUACAUGA